This 943-nucleotide ribosomal RNA is filed under the name Lactobacillus delbrueckii subsp. bulgaricus. Its description in RNAcentral is "partial 23S ribosomal RNA". It matches the Rfam family "Bacterial large subunit ribosomal RNA", at positions 396 to 1345 of the family's 2925-position model. Lineage: Bacteria; Bacillati; Bacillota; Bacilli; Lactobacillales; Lactobacillaceae. The record is from RNAcentral.
CCUAUCAGUAUCCUGAGUAGGGCGGGACACGUGAAAUCCCGUUUGAAUCCGCGAGGACCAUCUCGCAAGGCUAAAUACUAACCAGUGACCGAUAGUGAACCAGUACCGUGAGGGAAAGGUGAAAAGAACCCCGGGAGGGGAGUGAAAGAGAACCUGAAACCGUGUGCCUACAAGUAGUCAGAGCCCGUUAACGGGUAAUGGCGUGCCUUUUGUAGAAUGAACCGGCGAGUUGCGUUAGUCAGCAAGGUUAAGUCAGAAAAGACGGAGCCGUAGCGAAAGCGAGUCUGAAGAGGGCGAGCAGUUGGCUGACGCAGACCCGAAACCAAGUGACCUACCCAUGACCAGGUUGAAGGCGCGGUAAAACGCGCUGGAGGACCGAACCCACGUAAGUUGAAAAUUGCGGGGAUGAGUUGUGGGUAGCGGUGAAAUUCCAAACGAACUUGGAGAUAGCUGGUUCUCUCCGAAAUAGCUUUAGGGCUAGCCUCGCAAAGAGGAUGCUGGAGGUAGAGCUCUGUUUGGACUAGGGGCCCGUCAAGGGUUACUGAAUUCAGAUAAACUGCGAAUUCCAGACAUUUAUGUGCGGGAGUCAGACUGCGAGUGAUAAGAUCCGUAGUCGAAAGGGAAACAGCCCAGAUCACCAGUUAAGGUCCCAAAAUUCAUGCUAAGUGGAAAAGGAUGUGGAGUUGCGCAGACAACUAGGACGUUGGCUCAGAAGCAGCCAUCAUUCAAAGAGUGCGUAAUAGCUCACUAGUCGAGUGACGCCGCGCCGAAAAUUUACCGGGGCUAAGCAUGAUACCGAAACUGUGGAUGUGCAUUUAUGCACGUGGUAGGAGAGCGUUCUAGCGGCGGUGAAGCAUGACCGAGAGGACAUGUGGAGCUUCUAGAAGUGAGAAUGCCGGUAUGAGUAACGAAAGACAGGUGAGAAUCCUGUCCGCCGCAAGAC